AUUGAACGCUGGCGGUAUGCUUAACACAUGCAAGUCGAACGGUAGCAGGCCUUCGGGCGCUGACGAGUGGCGGACGGGUGAGUAACGCGUAGGAAUCUGCCUAGUAGUGGGGGACAACUUAUGGAAACGUAAGCUAAUACCGCAUACGCCCUACGGGGGAAAGCGGGGGAUCUUCGGACCUCGCGCUAUUAGAUGAGCCUGCGUUGGAUUAGCUAGUUGGUGGGGUAAAGGCCUACCAAGGCGACGAUCCAUGGCUGGUCUGAGAGGACGAUCAGCCACGCUGGGACUGAGACACGGCCCAGACUCCUACGGGAGGCAGCAGUGGGGAAUAUUGGACAAUGGGCGAAAGCCUGAUCCAGCAAUACCGCGUGUGUGAAGAAGGCCUGAGGGUUGUAAAGCACUUUCAAUAGGAAGGAAUACCUAUCGGCUAAUACCCGGUAGACUGACAUUACCUAUACAAGAAGCACCGGCUAACUCCGUGCCAGCAGCCGCAGUAA
This 497-nucleotide ribosomal RNA is filed under the name uncultured bacterium. Its description in RNAcentral is "partial 16S ribosomal RNA". It matches the Rfam family "Bacterial small subunit ribosomal RNA", at positions 30 to 523 of the family's 1533-position model. The record is from RNAcentral.